RNAcentral lists this ribosomal RNA (809 nucleotides) under uncultured archaeon. RNAcentral's name for it is "bacterial SSU rRNA". It matches the Rfam family "Archaeal small subunit ribosomal RNA", at positions 85 to 879 of the family's 1478-position model. The record is from RNAcentral.
ACGGCUCAGUAACACGUGGCUAAUCUGCCCUUGGGACAAGAACAACCCCGGGAAACUGGGGCUAAUUCUUGAUAGGCGAAGAACUCUGGAAUGAGUCUUCACCCAAUAGAUUCAAAGUUAUGCUCUUUGAAUCGCCCAAGGAUGAGGUCGCGACCGAUCAGGUUGUUGGUGAGGUAAUGGCUCACCAAGCCUUUUACCGGUGCGGGCCGUGAGAGCGGGAGCCCGGAGAUGGGCACUGAGACAAGGGCCCAGGCCCUACGGGGCGCAGCAGUCGCGAAAACUUUGCAAUAAGCGAAAGCUUGACAGGGCCAUCCCGAGUGCCAUCCGCUGAGGAAGGCUUUUACCCAGUCUAGAACGCUGGGGGAAUAAGGAGAGGGCAAGUCUGGUGUCAGCCGCCGCGGUAAUACCAGCUCUCCGAGUGGUGCGGAUGUUUAUUGGGCCUAAAGCAUCCGUAGCUGGCUAAGUUAGUCCCUUGUUAAAUCCACCGAAUUAAUCGUUGGAUUGCGGGGGAUACUGCUUGGCUAGGGAACGAGAGAGGCAGACGGUAUUUCCGGGGUAGGGGUGAAAUCCUAUAAUCCCGGGAGGACCACCAGUGGCGAAGGCUGUCUGCUAGAACGCGUCCGACGGUGAGGGAUGAAAGCUGGGGGAGCGAACCGGAUUAGAUACCCGGGUAGUCCCAGCUGUAAACGAUGCAGGCUAGGCGUUUGGACGGCCACGUGCCGUUCUAGUGCCGCAGGGAAGCUGUUAAGCCUGCCGCCUGGGGAGUACGAUCGCAAGAUUGAAACUUAAAGGAAUUGGCGGGGGAGCAC